RNAcentral lists this ribosomal RNA (540 nucleotides) under Triticum aestivum (bread wheat). Its description in RNAcentral is "partial small subunit ribosomal RNA". The record is from RNAcentral. Lineage: Eukaryota; Viridiplantae; Streptophyta; Magnoliopsida; Poales; Poaceae.
GCUGUGCGGACGCAGAUCACGCCGCAGCUGCGGGGUGCCGGCGUCUUCCAUUAUGUCGACGGCACGGUAACCGAGCCAACCAAAGUCCUCAUCACCAAGGACGCCGCCGGCAAGGAGACUAUCGGGCCAAAUCCCCUCCAUCUGCUUUGGGUGAAGGAGGAUCAGCAGGUCCUUGGAUAUCUACUCCAACACUUGUCCAAGGAAGUGCUCGUCACGGUGACCACGAUCACCACGGCGCGCGAACUCUGGGUGGCGCUGGCGAGCAUGUUCUCGUCGCAGUCACUCAGCCGCGUCAACAACAUCCGCACAUCGCUGAUUAAUGCGCAGAAGGGCAAUCAAUCGGUGGCCACCUUCUUCGCCGCCAUGAGGGGUCUCGCCGAUGAACUUGCCGCGGCGGGAAAACCCAUCCAGGACGACGAGCUCAUCUCCUACAUCAUCCACGGGAUGGACCAAGAGUAUCAGCCCCUCGUCUCCGCACUAGAUGCCCAUGUCACCCUGGUAACCCUCGAUGAACUUUUUGCCAUGCUCAGUAACUUUUGA